This 723-nucleotide ribosomal RNA is filed under the name uncultured marine microorganism. Its description in RNAcentral is "bacterial SSU rRNA". It matches the Rfam family "Bacterial small subunit ribosomal RNA", at positions 778 to 1501 of the family's 1533-position model. The record is from RNAcentral.
UUAGAUACCCUGGUAGUCCACGCCGUAAACGAUGUCUACUAGCCGUUGGGAAACUUGAUUUCUUAGUGGCGCAGCUAGCGCACUAAGUAGACCGCCUGGGGAGUACGGCCGCAAGGUUAAAACUCAAAUGAAUUGACGGGGGCCCGCACAAGCGGUGGAGCAUGUGGUUUAAUUCGAUGCAACGCGAAGAACCUUACCUGGUCUUGACAUCCUGCGAACUUUCUAGAGAUAGAUUGGUGCCUUCGGGAACGCAGUGACAGGUGCUGCAUGGCUGUCGUCAGCUCGUGUUGUGAAAUGUUGGGUUAAGUCCCGUAACGAGCGCAACCCUUAUCCUUAUUUGCCAGCACUUCGGGUGGGAACUCUAAGGAGACUGCCGGUGACAAACCGGAGGAAGGUGGGGACGACGUCAAGUCAUCAUGGCCCUUACGACCAGGGCUACACACGUGCUACAAUGGUAAGUACAAAGGGACGCUAAGCCGCGAGGUGGAGCUAAUCCCAGAAGGCUUAUCGUAGUCCGGAUUGGAGUCUGCAACUCGACUCCAUGAAGUCGGAAUCGCUAGUAAUCGUGGAUCAGAAUGCCACGGUGAAUACGUUCCCGGGCCUUGUACACACCGCCCGUCACACCAUGGGAGUGGAUUGCACCAGAAGUAGUUAGUCUAACCUUCGGGGGGACGAUUACCACGGUGUGGUUCAUGACUGGGGUGAAGUCGUAACAAGGUAACC